CGAAGGACUCUUUUUUUCUGUCCCUAACAAUCGCCUUCUGAUUCUUAUGUUUCACGCUGAUAUCACGAUUAUAAUGAAGCAUGAAACGUUGUUAUUGAACGAGAUAGAAAAUAAAAAAGAAAUCGGAAUAAAUAAAUCGUCCAGUGUGAUAAGAAAAAAGAAAAAAUUAUCGGAUAGAGAUGAGGGAAUAAAAACCGAAUUAUUGAACUCCGAUCGAUUAGCAUUAAGUGUGAUCGUUAUACGAAUUCGAUUACAUUCGUAAUUAAAUUAUUUACGAAUAAUUUAAUUUCAAUCGUGUGGUAUACCCAUACUGAAAUUAGAUAACACAAACUCACGAUAUAAAGGAGACGUAUGUAGGUAGGUAGAGAAACGACCUUGAGUUAACGGGUUAAGGACGACUUCAGCUAAAUGGGCCAUUGGCUGCUUCGACGAUCAACGUCCAUCUCAAAGGAGGCAGCUGUCAGUGGAAAAAAAGAAAAAAAAAAGAAAGGAAAGGAAAAAGACAAAAAGUUCCCAACGAGUUAGUUCAAUCCCAUGGACGAAAGAAUUUUCAGGGUUUCCAUUGAUAUAAAGGAUUAUGUUUCGAAGGACAAGACUUUCACCUUUAAACUUACCUGGGUUUUAAACUUUAAAAAUAAUCUAACUCAAAGCACAGGACAAGUGCGAUCGUGCGAAUUCGAGAACGAAGGAGUCACAGUGCAAAUACCACAUUGAGAUUCAAUUCUCGCGGGAAGAUCAUUAACGUAAUAGCGAAAUCAACGACGGAUUUAUCUUAAUCUUGUUUGUGGUUGGUCACUCACGUACGCUGACAAGACGACAGGAUUCUCUAUGGCGAUGUAAUGUGCGGAAAGCGUGUUUUUUCAAAAGCAAAAAGAACAAAGUCGAAAUUGUCAAGGGGAAAGAGAGGGGAAGAGAGGGAAAGAGAGAGAGAGAGAGAGAGAGAGAAAGAGCGCAAAGAAUCGAACGAAUAAAAAGCAAAAAAACUCUUGCUGGUCGUCGUACAACGAGGAAAGGAUAAAAAUCGUAAAGGUUUUUCGCGCGCAGAACGAGCGAAGACACGUGAUGUCGGUGACAGAGGAAGAGGAGGAGGAGGAGGAGGUGUAGUGGCAUGAUAGUGCGGAGGUGAGGUGGGUGACGAAAAAGGCGAGUAAAUGUGCCGGAUACUCUCAUCCAUACGUGUUGGUCGACAUUCAACAAGUGACUGACACUGAUGUCGCCCGAACGAUAUCCUACGUCCUUUGCCCUGCAAGGGUGGAAGUGGGAUGCAGUAGGGGGUAGCAUUAUUGCCGGCACCGGCCGAGUCCGAGUAUCGGAAAGCUUCUGUGGCAUAAAGGAAAAAAGAGAAAGAGAACGUUCUCCGUGAGAAGGCAUAAGCGCGUAAAUAUCAGCGCGGACGAAGAGCCAUGGAGCGUAGGAAUGGAAAGAAGGAACGAACAGACCGGUCUUGCUGUCUGCUCUUUCUUUCUAUCUCUCUCUUUUUCUUUCGUCUCCAUAUGCUCUUCCCUCGCGUUCUUGAAGCAAAAGAAAAAGAUGGAGUCGAAGAAGUCUAACGCAACGAAGAGCAAGAAAGAAAGAAAGAAAGAAAGAAAGAAAGAAAGAAAGAAAGAAAGAAGGAAAGAAAGAAAGAAGGUUACCGACGAGGAGGAUGGACAGAGGCAGGCGAGCAGCAGGCAGGCAGGCAGGCAGGCAGGCAAGAGAGUUGGCAGGCACAGGUAGGCAAGCAGGCAACAAGCAAGCAGGCAGGCAAGCCGGCCGGCAAACAGACAGGCAGGCAGGCAGCAGGUAGGCAAACAGGCAGGAAGGCAGGAAAACAGGCAGGCAGGCAGGCAGGCAAGCUGGCUGGUUGAUGGAGAGGCGCCGACGAAGAGAGGGAGUAAGAGAGAUGAAAGAGGAGGAGGAGGAGGAGGAGGAUGAAAGGUGGACGAGGGAGGAGAAAGGCGAGGGGAUCGAUAGAACGACAAGGACGGCGUAUGCGUAUAUAGUUAUACACAUAGCAUGCUACGGCAGCAUCGGCUGUCGUCGAAUGACGGAAAGGGGGUGGGGAGAAAGAGGGGAGGCCUGCGAGCGUUUCGAGGCGUCCCUGGAUGGCGGCACCACCGUCGACCCCAACGCACGGAUAGAUGCGAUGAGGCCUGCGCCGUUUGUCGGCAGCAAUACUGACUGGGUGGGGAUAACGUCAGACUGACGGACUCGUGGGAAAGAGAGAGGAGAGGAAGCGAGUGAGUGAGCGAACGAGCGAACGACAAAGAGAGAGAGAGGAGAGAAAGAGAGAGAGCGACAUGGGCGCGCGCGCGAGGCUCGACGAGGAAGGAGAUUGGUCGAGGCGGUGGCGACGAUGCGACUGCCUCGAAGGUGGGAGAAGGCUGGCGCGAUCGGAUCGCGUUAAACGGAACACCCCGUAUAACGAGCGUACAUUGGGAGCUCUCUCGGAAGCGCGUCGAUCCAUAUUUUAAAGCUACGGUCGAUAUUGAGAGAGAGAGAGAGAGAAAGAGAGAGAGAGACAGAGCGAUAGAGAGAAAUAAAGAGAGAGAGAUCGUCGAGUUUUGUACUCUUUUUGAUUUCGUUAAAACGCGAGUAUGAUUUUCUUCAAACUUAUAAAUUCAAAGGUCCUUUUCUCAGAAAAUCAACGAUAACAAAGAUAACGAUAACAAUAAUGAUGACGAUGGUAAUGACGAGGACAAUGAUGAUGAUGACGAUAAAGAUGAAGACGACGACGACGACGGCGACGAUAACGACCACGACGAUGACGAAGAAGAAGACAACGUGAAAUUGUUUUAUUAAAGAAUUUCUGAACAAGGACCAGCCUGAAAUUGUCAAUCUCUAAAAACGGUCAAUGCUUUUUGAAAAA
Long non-coding RNA from Vespa velutina, 2848 nucleotides. RefSeq lists it as uncharacterized. The transcript has 8 exons. Lineage: Eukaryota; Metazoa; Arthropoda; Insecta; Hymenoptera; Vespidae. The record is from RefSeq and is a predicted model, not a curated record.